Molecule: ribosomal RNA, 427 nt
Filed under: uncultured bacterium
Lineage: Bacteria
Description: partial 16S ribosomal RNA
Rfam family: Bacterial small subunit ribosomal RNA
Source: RNAcentral
UGGGGAAUAUUGGACAAUGGGCGAAAGCCUGAUCCAGCCAUGCCGCGUGUGUGAAGAAGGUCUUAGGAUUGUAAAGCACUUUAAGUUGGGAGGAAGGGCAUUAACCUAAUACGUUAGUGUUUUGACGUUACCGACAGAAUAAGCACCGGCUAACUCUGUGCCAGCAGCCGCGGUAAUACAGAGGGUGCAAGCGUUAAUCGGAAUUACUGGGCGUAAAGCGCGCGUAGGUGGUUUGUUAAGUUGGAUGUGAAAUCCCCGGGCUCAACCUGGGAACUGCAUUCAAAACUGACUGACUAGAGUAUGGUAGAGGGUGGUGGAAUUUCCUGUGUAGCGGUGAAAUGCGUAGAUAUAGGAAGGAACACCAGUGGCGAAGGCGACCACCUGGACUAAUACUGACACUGAGGUGCGAAAGCGUGGGGAGCAAACA